GACGAGGGAUCCUAGCGUUGUUCGGAAUCAUUGGGCGUAAAGCGGGUGCAGGUGGCUUUGUAAGUCAGAUGUGAAAGCCUGAGGCUUAACCUCAGAAGUGCAUUUGAUACUGCGAAGCUUGAGUGCUGGAGAGGCUACUAGAAUUCCAGGUGUAGUGGUGAAAUACGUAGAUAUCUGGAGGAAUACCGGAGGCGAAGGCGGGUAGCUAGCCAGACACUGACACUCAGACCCGAAAGCGUGGGGAUCAAACAGG
Molecule: ribosomal RNA, 253 nt
Filed under: uncultured Bdellovibrio sp.
Lineage: Bacteria; Pseudomonadati; Bdellovibrionota; Bdellovibrionia; Bdellovibrionales; Pseudobdellovibrionaceae
Description: partial 16S ribosomal RNA
Rfam family: Bacterial small subunit ribosomal RNA
Source: RNAcentral